This 253-nucleotide ribosomal RNA is filed under the name uncultured bacterium. RNAcentral's name for it is "partial 16S ribosomal RNA". It matches the Rfam family "Bacterial small subunit ribosomal RNA", at positions 524 to 776 of the family's 1533-position model. The record is from RNAcentral.
UACGUAGGGUCCGAGCGUUGUCCGGAAUUACUGGGCGUAAAGCGCACGUAGGUGGGUACUUAAGUCGGAUGUGAAAGCCCUGGGCUUAACCUGGGAAUUGCACCCGAUACUGGGUAUCUAGAGUAUGGUAGAGGGAAGUGGAAUUUCCGGUGUAGCGGUGAAAUUCGUAGAUAUCGGGAGGAACACCUGUGGCGAAGGCGGCCAUCUGGACAACUACUGACGCUGAGGUGCGAAAGCGUGGGGAGCAAUCAGG